Molecule: ribosomal RNA, 490 nt
Filed under: uncultured bacterium
Lineage: Bacteria
Description: partial 16S ribosomal RNA
Rfam family: Bacterial small subunit ribosomal RNA
Source: RNAcentral
GGGGGGGGGGGGGGGGGGGGGGGGGGGGGGGGGGGGGGGGGGGGGGGGGGGCGGGGGGUGGGGGGGGGGGGGGAGAGUGGCGCGCGGGUGCGGAACGCGUGAGCAACCUACCCUUGGCAGGGGGAUAGCCCGGCGAAAGUCGGAGUAAUACCGCAUGACAUCAUUGAGAGGCAUCUUUCGAUGAUCAAAGAUUUAUCGGACAAGGAUGGGCUCGCGUGACAUUAGCUAGUUGGUAAGGUAACGGCUUACCAAGGCUACGAUGUCUAGGGGCUCUGAGAGGAGAAUCCCCCACACUGGUACUGAGACACGGACCAGACUCCUACGGGAGGCAGCAGUAAGGAAUAUUGGUCAAUGGACGGAAGUCUGAACCAGCCAUGCCGCGUGCAGGAAGACGGCCCUAUGGGUUGUAAACUGCUUUUAUACGGGAACAAACGUCGGUACGUGUACCAGUCUGAGUGUACCGUAAGAAUAAGGAUCGGCUAACUCCGUG